RNAcentral lists this ribosomal RNA (429 nucleotides) under bacterium. Its description in RNAcentral is "partial 16S ribosomal RNA". It matches the Rfam family "Bacterial small subunit ribosomal RNA", at positions 355 to 776 of the family's 1533-position model. The record is from RNAcentral.
UGGGGAAUCUUCCGCAAUGGACGAAAGUCUGACGGAGCAACGCCGCGUGAGUGAUGACGGCCUUCGGGUUGUAAAGCUCUGUUAAUCGGGACGAAUGGUUCUUGUGCGAAUAGUGCAAGGAUUUGACGGUACCGGAAUAGAAAGCCACGGCUAACUACGUGCCAGCAGCCGCGGUAAUACGUAGGUGGCAAGCGUUGUCCGGAAUUAUUGGGCGUAAAGCGCGCGCUGGCGGAUUGGUCAGUCUGUCUUAAAAGUUCGGGGCUUAACCCCGUGAUGGGAUGGAAACUGCCAAUCUAGAGUAUCGGAGAGGAAAGUGGAAUUCCUAGUGUAGCGGUGAAAUGCGUAGAUAUUAGGAAGAACACCAGUGGCGAAGGCGACUUUCUGGACGAAAACUGACGCUGAGGCGCGAAAGCCAGGGGAGCGAACGGG